Molecule: ribosomal RNA, 400 nt
Filed under: uncultured bacterium
Lineage: Bacteria
Description: bacterial SSU rRNA
Rfam family: Bacterial small subunit ribosomal RNA
Source: RNAcentral
GGGGAAUAUUGGACAAUGGGCGAAAGCCUGAUCCAGCCAUGCCGCGUGAGUGAUGAAGGCCCUAGGGUUGUAAAGCUCUUUCACCGGUGAAGAUAAUGACGGUAGCCGGAGAAGAAGCCCCGGCUAACUUCGUGCCAGCAGCCGCGGUAAUACGAAGGGGGCUAGCGUUGUUCGGAAUUACUGGGCGUAAAGCGCACGUAGGCGGACUAUUUAGUCAGGGGUGAAAUCCCGGGGCUCAACCCCGGAACUGCCUUUGAUACUGGUAGUCUAGAGUCCGGAAGAGGUGAGUGGAAUUCCGAGUGUAGAGGUGAAAUUCGUAGAUAUUCGGAGGAACACCAGUGGCGAAGGCGGCUCACUGGUCCGGGACUGACGCUGAGGUGCGAAAGCGUGGGGAGCAAAC